Schizosaccharomyces pombe (fission yeast) is the source of this 629-nucleotide non-coding RNA. Lineage: Eukaryota; Fungi; Ascomycota; Schizosaccharomycetes; Schizosaccharomycetales; Schizosaccharomycetaceae. The record is from the annotation of a GenBank genome assembly.
AACAAAACAGCUCGAACGGAAGAGUAACACGAGUGUUAAAAUAAAAUGUUUAUUUUAUCGGGUUAAAACAAACAAAAAAAUCACGAGAAUUGAAAGCGGAACCAGAGACCGGGAAUACAGCGUUCCUAUACCAAACAGAAGUAAGGCUCAAUAAACAAACAGGAUUGGACGGCUUAAUUAAAAUAAAAAAAAACAACUGCAGAGUAGGCGGCAGAAAUAAACAAAUUGCAACGUGAAGAGAAAGGAACAAAUGGAACAGGGAUAGCGGAGUAAGCUAAGGACUUUGAUCAUAGCGGACCUUUACAACAGCCUUAACUUAAACAAGGAACCAAAGCACAAUAUACCGUAAGCGUUGUAAGCAUCGUAAAGUAGAAUACCGAAUACAAAAGUAGCAUGCAAUUUCCAAAUUCCAAAAACCUUAUUGCAAGUCAGAUAAUCCGAAUGUAAUAAAUGAGAAUUUCAUGAAACGGCAUGUUUUGAGAUAAAAACAUUAAAUAAGAGACAAAGGAGAAAUAGCAUAUACAAGUACAAAAUUUAAAGGCCACUUGAAAAUUCAGAAACUAGUCGUAUCCACAUUGACACAGCAGAAUGAAAUAUAUAUAUAUACAGACAAAAGGCACCAAGGUAAC